This 274-nucleotide ribosomal RNA is filed under the name uncultured bacterium. RNAcentral's name for it is "partial 16S ribosomal RNA". It matches the Rfam family "Bacterial small subunit ribosomal RNA", at positions 523 to 796 of the family's 1533-position model. The record is from RNAcentral.
AUACGGAGGGUGCAAGCGUUAAUCGGAAUUACUGGGCGUAAAGGGCGCGUAGGCGGUCUAUCAAGUCAGGUGUGAAAUCCCACGGCUCAACCGUGGAGGUGCAUCUGAAACUGAUAGACUUGAGUAUGGGAGAGGAAAGCGGAAUUCCCGGUGUAGAGGUGAAAUUCGUAGAUAUCGGGAGGAACACCAGUGGCGAAGGCGACUUUCUGGACCAAUACUGACGCUGAGGCGCGAAAGCGUGGGGAGCAAACAGGAGUAGAAACCCUAGUAGUCC